This 465-nucleotide ribosomal RNA is filed under the name uncultured bacterium. RNAcentral's name for it is "bacterial SSU rRNA". It matches the Rfam family "Bacterial small subunit ribosomal RNA", at positions 15 to 507 of the family's 1533-position model. The record is from RNAcentral.
GAUCAUGGCUCAGGAUGAACGCUGGCGAGUGCCUAACACAUGCAAGGUCGAGCGGCAGCGCGAGUAGUUUACUACUUGGCGGCGAGCGGCGGACGGCUGAGUAACGCGUGGGAACAUGCCCCAAAGUGAGGAAUAACCUGCCCGAAAGGGUAGCUAAUGCCGCAUACGAUCUUCGGAUUAAAGGAUUUAUCCGCUUUGGGAGUGGCCUGCGUACGAUUAGAUAGUUGGUGAGGUAAUGGCUCACCAAGUCUACGAUCGUUAACUGGUUUGAGAGGAUGAUCAGUCAGACUGGAACUGAGACACGGUCCAGACUCCUACGGGAGGCAGCAGUGAGGAAUCUUCCACAAUGGACGAAAGUCUGAUGGAGCAACUCCGCGUGCAGGAUGAAGGCCUUCGGGUCGUAAACUGCUUUUAUGAGUGAAGAAUAUGACGGUAACUCAUGAAUAAGGGUCGGCUAACUACGUG